CUACGGGCUGCACCAGUGGGGAAUCUUGGACAAUGGGCGCAAGCCUGAUCCAGCCAUGCCGCGUGAGUGAUGAAGGCCCUAGGGUUGUAAAGCUCUUUCACCGGUGACGAUAAUGACGGUAGCCGGAGAAGAAGCCCCGGCUAACUUCGUGCCAGCAGCCGCGGUAAUACGAAGGGGGCUAGCGUUGUUCGGAAUUACUGGGCGUAAAGCGCACGUAGGCGGACGGCUAAGUCAGGGGUGAAAGCCCGGAGCUCAACUCCGGAAUUGCCUUUGAUACUGGCUGUCUUGAGACCGGGAGAGGAGAGUGGAAUUCCCAGUGUAGAGGUGAAAUUCGUAGAUAUUGGGAAGAACACCCGUGGCGAAGGCGGCUCUCUGGCCCGGUUCUGACGCUGAGGUGCGAAAGCGUGGGGAGCAAACAGGAUUAGAUACCCCGGUAGUC
This 439-nucleotide ribosomal RNA is filed under the name uncultured bacterium. RNAcentral describes it as "partial 16S ribosomal RNA". It matches the Rfam family "Bacterial small subunit ribosomal RNA", at positions 339 to 795 of the family's 1533-position model. The record is from RNAcentral.